UGCGCAGGCGGCUUUGCAAGUCGGGAGUGAAAUCCCAGGGCUUAACCCUGGAAUUGCUUUCGAAACUGCAAGGCUUGAGUCUCGGAGAGGUUGGCGGAAUUCCCAGUGUAGAGGUGAAAUUCGUAGAUAUUGGGAGGAACACCAGUGGCGUAAGCGGCCAACUAGACGAGUACUGACGCUCAAGCACGAAAGCGUGGGAGUCAAACAA
This 208-nucleotide ribosomal RNA is filed under the name uncultured bacterium. Its description in RNAcentral is "partial 16S ribosomal RNA". It matches the Rfam family "Bacterial small subunit ribosomal RNA", at positions 568 to 775 of the family's 1533-position model. The record is from RNAcentral.